Molecule: non-coding RNA, 74 nt
Organism: Hydra vulgaris (swiftwater hydra)
Lineage: Eukaryota; Metazoa; Cnidaria; Hydrozoa; Anthoathecata; Hydridae
Source: the annotation of a RefSeq genome assembly
GCCUGGUUGGCGCAGUUGGUUAGCGCGUCAGUCUCAUAAUCUGAAGGUCGUGAGUUCGACCCUCACACUAGGCA